GAAGAAUUAGAAGCACAUAAAUCUAUCUGCGCAGUAACAUACACAAUUCUUGCUAGUAUACUACUACUUAGUAAUUAUUUCAACCUAGAGAAUGAAGGGUGAAACAAUCCUAGCAGCAAUUGAACAACUAAGCUAAUGGAUCUUGAACAAAGUGGAAGCAACUACGUACAAUAUCACCGGAAAAUCAAUUUGGGAAGUCGUAAGAGCCCUAAAAGUUCAUACUGUGAGACUCGCUAUGCAGAAUAGAUCUAAUAUCUAAAGAAACCAUUGCAAUGAUCAAGUGGAUCUUGAGUUAAGCAUCACUCUUCAUCAUCAGAAUCAGAAGUGUCAUAUUGUUGUCUUCGUUCUUCAAUUGCACCACUCACGUGCCUUCGCUCAGGGUGAAUAAAACCUGAAGCAAACUGGUUGGCUGAUACGAAGGUCCUCAUCAGAAGUGCUCUCACGAAUUUGAUUUCAGCUUGAUGCAUGCUAACAAACUUGGACAUUUGACCAUACAAAAAUCCAACUACUUGGUCCAGCCUGGCUUGAUGCUUCAAGAGGAAAGGACGAAGGUGAGUCAUAUACAUUUGCCUUGCCCCAUCAGUAGUAGGCAGUUGAAGCCAAACAAGAAAUGCAAACUUC
RNAcentral lists this unclassified non-coding RNA (621 nucleotides) under Hevea brasiliensis (rubber tree). Lineage: Eukaryota; Viridiplantae; Streptophyta; Magnoliopsida; Malpighiales; Euphorbiaceae. The record is from RNAcentral.